UGGGGAAUUUUCCGCAAUGGGCGAAAGCCUGACGGAGCAAUACCGCGUGAGGGAGGAAGGCUUUUGGGUUGUAAACCUCUUUUAUAAAGGAAGAACAAAAUGACGGUACUUUAAGAAUCAGCAUCGGCUAACUCCGUGCCAGCAGCCGCGGUAAUACGGAGGAUGCAAGCGUUAUCCGGAAUCAUUGGGCGUAAAGCGUCCGCAGGUGGUUCGUCAAGUCUGCUGUUAAAGACAGAAGCUCAACUUCUGAAAAGCAGUGGAAACUGGGGAACUAGAGUACGGUAGGGGUUGAGGGAAUUCCCAGUGUAGCGGUGAAAUGCGUAGAUAUUGGGAAGAACACCAGUGGCGAAGGCGCUCAACUGGGCCGUAACUGACACUCAGGGACGAAAGCGAGGGUAGCGAAAGGGAUUAGAUACCCCUGUAGUCC
RNAcentral lists this ribosomal RNA (427 nucleotides) under uncultured prokaryote. RNAcentral's name for it is "bacterial SSU rRNA". It matches the Rfam family "Bacterial small subunit ribosomal RNA", at positions 355 to 796 of the family's 1533-position model. The record is from RNAcentral.